Marmota flaviventris (yellow-bellied marmot) is the source of this 607-nucleotide non-coding RNA. The record is from RefSeq and is a predicted model, not a curated record. NCBI's taxonomy places the organism in Eukaryota, Metazoa, Chordata, Mammalia, Rodentia, Sciuridae.
CUUUGGGCUUCAAUUUGCAUGGAAUCCCUCUGUCCCAUCACUCUCUGCCCAUGUGGGUCCUGGGAGCUACAGGGCGUCUCUGAUUGGCUGCAUGGAGUUGCUCAUUAUUUCAAGAUCUCUGCAGUCUCCCUGUGUGUGUUGAUCAGAGAUGUAAUUCAUUCACAUUCACUGUAAUUAUGAUAGGUGAGGACUUAGUAUGUCCACUUUGUUAAUUCUCCUGUGAUUGUUCUGGUGUUCCUGGUACCCCUCUUCCUCUGGCUACAAGAGGGAAUUAUUCUAACUAUAGAUUUUUAACAUACUCCUGCCUUUAAGCUUUAUGCUAGAGGUUAAAUGUCCAUCACCAUCAUGAAACCAGACUUCGGAGCUUCUCUACAUUUUGCUUUACUGUGAGUUUGUACUUUCAUUCUUUUUGUGCAAUAUUUAACCUGGAGACCUCCACUCAACAUUUCUUGAAAGGCAGAUAGAGUGGGGAUAAGGUCCCUCCACAGUUAUUUCUCUGGAAUUCCCCUCUCCCCUUCACUCCUGAAGGAAAGUCUUGUUUGGCUUUGUAUUUCUGUAGCACUUUGAAUAAAGCAUCCCAGUCUUUCCUCCCUGCAAGAUUCCUGCA